This 3918-nucleotide ribosomal RNA is filed under the name Triticum aestivum (bread wheat). RNAcentral describes it as "partial small subunit ribosomal RNA". The record is from RNAcentral. Lineage: Eukaryota; Viridiplantae; Streptophyta; Magnoliopsida; Poales; Poaceae.
AUGCGUGGGCGUGGCGCGCCCACCCGAGGGCUGAAGGCACGGGCCGGCCGGACCAUAGCUUCUUCACCCUGUCUCGGGGACAGGCAGAGCAUUCAUUUGCCCUCGCCCGGACGUACGCAUAGCAUAAUUAGUACGGGUACAAUCCACUGUUGGCUUGGAACUCGGCGCCCCGGCGUCGCCAUCCGCCCCGCUCCAUGCCCGGCCCCGAACACCCAACACCGCGCGCAUCCACCAGCAGCGCCAGGUCGGAGCCUUAUCCGCAGCGGCCGGCUCCCCACGUACUCCACCGCGGUCCGUCCGGCGCUCCGGCGCGCAGCGGGCGGGAGCGGGAUGGUCCUCGAGCACGGGGGGGUCCUGGGGCACACGCGCCGGUGCGGCGCGCGUGGCCUCUCUCUCGCCGUGCUACCUAUAGAUUCUGCAGCAUGCACGGCAUCGGCAUGGCGUCCUAUAACUUAUGCUGGACAUAUUUGCCCUUACAUCUCGAUUGACCAGAACAGAGGAGCUCGUUCUCAUCCCCUCUCGCUCACAAAUGCAGCGACAGACGACGGCGGCUACUGGAAGACGGUGACGGCCCUGGGAUACUCGACGGCGGCGGCCCUGUGUGCACUGAUCGACCGAUUUGCUUCGUUUGAACGACUUGGUCGGCUCGCGUCGGACCGGCCGACCGCGCCACCCCCACUCCACUUCUCACUCACUCGCUCCUCUGCUCUCCCUGGGGCUUCAAUGGGGAAGGCGAAACCUAGCGGCGGCGACGGCCGCGGCGGCGGCGGCGCUUCCGCUGGUGAUGCUGGUGGUGAUGGAGAUCCACUGGAGCUCUGCGGGAGCUCGAAUCCUUCUCAGGCGGUGCCUCCUCCCCAAUCCCCGGACCCGCAGUACACGGCGGCUAGGGCAUUUGCCAAGGCGGUGAAGGCAAAUCCGACGGGCAGCCAGCACUUUGCAUCCUCCUUCGGCGGUGUGGUGUUGGAUGAUGAAGAAUGGGAAAGUUGGAAGGAUUUAGUUCAAGAGAUUAUAUGUAUUAUGUCAGAGAUCCAGGAGUUGGGGGUGUCGGGAAUGGAAGAAUUAACUGAUGAUGACAAGGUUGAAGAAAUGUUGGAUGACAUAUGCAGUAAAGGAAAUAAUGUGGUUAACAUUACAGUUAUGAGAAGUGAUGCACCCACACCAGCUGACCUGAACAUUGGUCAUGUUUAUGAAGAGCAGGUCCCUUUGUCUGAAUUAGGUGUACCACUUAUCUAUGAGGUAGAUACUUCAGGAGUUCUUUCCCCCAGUCCAGUUAAGCCCCAACCACAGCCUAUCCAGGUCAUGAACACCCAAGAGAGUUCAUGUUUGAAGCUAAAGGGUCCAAGUGAACCAGAGUUUGCAUUGGACUAUGGUAGUGAGAGGCAUGAGUACUUCAUGGAGACAGACCAAGAUCAAGAGAAGAUUGAGAAGAUGAUGGAGCAAAGGAGGAAUGAAGAGAUUGAAAAGUUUAGGACCAAUAAAAAACAAAAAGAGAAGUACAAGGAAGCAAAGAGAAAACUUCUAGAGCUGCUUGCUGAAGAGUUCACUGACAGUGAUAGUGACAAUGAGAUUUUAGAAGAUGAAGACAUAAUAGCUAGGCUGGAGGCAAUGAAGAGGCAUGGAGUUGAUCCUCUCAAUCACUUUGAAGGAGACACUGAUGUAGAAGAGCUUUAUCAACCAGAUGAGGAGGAGUUGGAGGAUGAAGUAGGAGAGGAGGAGGUAGGACAGGAUGAGCAAGCUGAGGAGGGUAGGAGAGGAGGAAGCACUAUAGGAGGAAGUAGUGCAGGAGGAAGCAGCAACACAGGAGGAAGCCAGAGGAAGGGGCCAACAACCAGAUCACAUGGAAGUCUUGAACAAAUCAUAGAGCAAGAUUGGAUACCUUCAUCUGAUGAAGAGAGCAACCCAGAUGUCCAACAAUUCAGGAGAGCACUUCCUACAUUUCACAUCUCACAAAACAGGAACUACUCUUUUCAUAGAAACUGCUCAGAUAGAGUUAUUACAGUUUGCAGUACAGAAGACUGUCCUUUUUUCAUUGCUGCUUCUCAAAUAGCACAUGAGAAAACUUUUUGUAUAAAGAAGAUGAGCUUGUACCACAAUUGUGCUGCUGUAGGAGAGAGCACCAAAGUGACUGCAAGAUGGUUGGCACAUGAGUGUGAGGAACAGUUGAGGGCAGACAUAAACACACCAGUCCAAACCAUAAUAGCCAAUUUGAAGAAUAAACAUGGAAUAGAAGUGUCCAUUCACAUGGCCUACAGAGCAAGGAAAGCAGCUAAGAGUGUUGUCCAAGGAUAUCAAAGGGCACAAUACACAAGGAUAAGGGAUUACCUCCAAGCUGUGUUGGAUACCAAUCGAGGAAGUAGAUGCAUUGUUACAACAAAGCAAUUGAAGGCCCAUCCUAGCAUAAAUCCUAGAUUCCAUGGCUUGUUCAUGUGCCUCAAUGCUUGCAAAAAGGGUUUCCUAAAUGGUUGCAGACCCUUCAUAGGUGUUGAUGGCUGCUUCAUUAAGUUGACCACGGGGCAGCAAAUACUGGCUGCAACUGGUAGAGAUGGUAAUAACAACAUAUUUCCCAUUGCAUUUGCAAUUGUUGACAAGGAAGACACUGCCAGCUGGUCAUGGUUUCUAACACAACUGAAGUAUGCUCUUGGUGGUGAGUCAGGGAAGCAUGGCUACUACACUAUCAUAUCUUAUAGACAAAAGAACUUCCAAACAGCUGGCUUUAGAGGUGAAGAGUUAAAGAAAUACAUGGAUCAGGCUAGUUAUUCAUAUACUGAGCAUGGAUAUAAUCAAGCAAUGGACGGAAAACCAAUUAAAACCAUGGUUGAUGGGAUCAGAACAAAAUUGUUAGUUAAGUUCAAUGCCAAUAGGACCAAGACAGAGACAGGUAAGUGGCAGAUAUGCCCAACAUAUGCUGAAAAGCUGGAAGAAGCUAAACAUCAUUCCAGAUUCUGUCAGUCAAUCAAGGCUGGACCUGAUCUAUACCAGGUUGCAAGUGGAGAAAGCACAUAUGCAGUAAAUCUGAAAGAUUACACAUGUGGGUGUAGAAAAUGGGACAUGACUAGGGUUCCUUGCAAUCAUGGUGUUUCUGCAAUUAACAAGGCUAAACUACAUCCAGAAGAUUUUGUUAAUGCUUUCUUCAAGAAACCAAUGUAUCAACAAGCCCACAGUCCAAUUGUCUCCCCUGUGCCUGGGCCUAAUCUAUGGCCAAAGACUGGGACCCCUGACAUAGAGCCACCUGUUUUCAGAGACAAGCCAGGAAAGAAGCAUACAAAGAGGAGAAAGAAUCAGUUUGAGAAGCCAGCUCCCAAGGAUACUUCUAGGAUGGCAUCAAUCACUUGUAGUAAUUGCAAUUUGAGUGGGCAUAGGUACACUAGCUGCCACAAAAAUCUGAAGACAGCCCUUGCAAUGAGAAGGAACCAACACCAGGAAAACGGAAGAGUUGAUGCAGCUUCAUCAGCCCCAAGGGCAGCUCCAUCAGUACCCAGGGUAAGAACUACAGCUCCACCAGCACCUAGGCUAGCUCCAUCAGCUCCAGCAGUUCCCAAGGCAAGAACUACAGCUCCACCAGCACCUAGGCCAGCUCCAUCAGCUCCUCCUGCAACUAGGAGAGCAACUGCAUCUACUGUUGCUGCUUCUAGGCCAAGUUCAUCUACUGCUGCAGCUAGAAGGCCAAGUUCAUCUACUGCUGGUGCUUCUAGGCCAAGUUCUUCUACUGCUGCAAAGAAAACAUUCAUACCACCUAGAGCUUCAGUUUGUGAUGUUGAAAACAAUUUCAAGUUUGUGAUGUUCAAAACAGCUGUGAGUUUGUCAUGUUCAAACCAGUUUAAUUCAGCCUAUUUUGGCUACUUUGUGAUGGCACUAUACUUUGUUGCAUCAAGCUAUUUAGGAUUUUAUAUUAAUGAUGAUGAUGUUGUUGUCACUUAG